UUCAGAUAAUUAUUAAAAUACU
Molecule: microRNA, 22 nt
Filed under: Callorhinchus milii (elephant shark)
Lineage: Eukaryota; Metazoa; Chordata; Chondrichthyes; Chimaeriformes; Callorhinchidae
Description: eshark_NOVEL_93
Source: RNAcentral